GGAAGGAUCAUUAACACGUGAUUCCACGUAUCAACCAACCUCGACGAACUGUAUCUCAACUCUUUUGGGUUCUAUCUUUGGCGGCGGCGGCCCUCGGCUUCCUCCUCUAAAGGUUUAUCUCUUGCUGUACUUAGUGCAGACAAGAGACCUUGAGUGUGAAGAAGGUGGUUUAUUGGAGAUGUCGUAUGCAAUUGGACUUCGUGUCUGAUUCUCGCUGGCAUCCUCCUUAAGCCAAGUGCUUCCCUCUUUGGCCCAGGGAUUUGAGUGUCUUGUUGUCUUCUGCCUACCCUCUGCGGGGGGUGUGGCUUAUUUUCCCACCGUUUUUAGUUCGUCUUGUGUUUCCAGUCUUCGGAGUGGAGUACGCACUACGUCUAAAAACUUGCUGUUUUAAAUCAAUACAUCUUGUUAUUGAAAGGGAUUCCCGCAAGGGUCAAUGCCUUUUAAUACAAACUCUGAACAACUCUGAGCAACGGAUGUCUUGGUUCCCGCAACGAUGAAGAACGCAGCAAAAUGCGAUAAGUAAUGCGAAUUGCAGAACUCAGUGAAUCAUCGACUCUUCGAACGCAACUUGCACCCCAGCCGUUCCUAGGCCUAAAAACCUACACGGGGGGUACGUACUGUUCAGUGUCGACCGACACUCUGAGGCAUCGUCCUCAAUAAUUGGGUCCUGGCUCUUCAGUUGGGCGGAUCCGUGGGCAUGUCGUUUGUGCUUCUUUUAUCUGGUGCUUGCACUAGAUAAAAGCAGCCCUCGUCUCGGCGAGAACGGCAUAUCAGCUCAGUACAUGUGAGUGUUCCUUUAGCUCCUUUUGCACUUGUGUAAAAGGUAGCUGAAGGUCACUUUAAAUUAUGCUCUACUCUAGUGAGGCUCAGUUGGCCUACUGGAGAGACUGCCACCUGUUCUCUUCUGGAGCAGGAUUGGAUGGCUGGGUCACACCAGUCAAACAUCCUCCUGUUUCUGGGCUCAAAAGAGAGCUUGUGGGAUGCACACAGUCUUUCCAUUCAAGGUAAGCCAACAUUAAUGGGUCACACUUAAAAACCGGAGGACAUGGUACCGACCCUGUCUCCACCCCUUGGCCAGCAAUGUGCGCUAGCCCAACAAACCAAUCCUAGACCUGAACUAGUACGAGAACACCCGCUGAAUUUAAGCAUAUUAUUAAGCGGAGGAAAAGAAACUAACAAGGAUUCCCCUAGUAACGGCGAGUGAAGCGGGAAUAGCUCAAAGUUUAAAUCCCCCACCUUCCGGUGUGUUGGGAGUUGUAAUCUAUGACCUGUGGCCAGCGUGUGACCCGGGUAUAACUCUUUUGGAAAAAGGGAUCAUAGAGGGUGAGAAUCCCGUCUGUGACCCGGAGUUCGCCGCGUACGGUACAGGUUCUGAGAGUCGCGUUGUUUGGGAGUACAGCGCAAAAUGGGUGGUAAACUUCAUCUAAAGCUAAAUAUUGGCGGGAGACCGAUAGCGAACAAGUAGCGUGAGCGAAAGAUGAAAAGAACUUUGAAAAGAGAGUUAAAAAGUACCUGAAAUUGCUCAGAGGGAAGUUAUGGAAACCAGUCUUUCCCUGGAGGAUAUUUACCAUCGAUUGGAUCGUAGAAGCGUAAGGGACGAGGCUCCAAGAGGGUCCGGACUUUUGCUUCGUUGCUUUUCAGUCGGUGGGUCCUGUCCUCUGGGGCGUGUCAGAAUCAGUUUGGCUGGUCGGAGAAAGCCUUGGAGAAGGUGAGAAGCUAUGGGGUUCGCUUCAUAGUUUCUGUUAUAGCUCUAAGGAAAUAUACGACCGGCGAGACUGAGGAACAUUCGAUAAGGCACCCCUCCUCGUGGGGGAUGUGGAACUUCGUCUCUAUUCGGAUGUGGUUGGCUUGGACAGCAAAGCUGUGCGGUUGACCCGGCUGGAUACUGGGCGGGGAUCUCCAUUCGUGUCCUUAGCGAUUCUGACGAAAUGGUUUUCAUUGACCCGUCUUGAAACACGGACCAAGGAGUCUAACAUAUAUGCGAGUAUUUGGGUGUUUCAAACCCUAAAUGCGUAAUGAAAGUGAAGGAGGACUUGUGCCUCUGAGGUAGGAACCGUGGCUUCGGCUGCGGGGCACUAUCGACCGAUCGAUCACUUGUGAUAGAUUUGAGUCAGAGCAUAUCUGUUGGGACCCGAAAGAUGGUGAUCUAUGCCUGAUCAGGGUGAAGCCAGGGGAAACUCUGGUGGAAGCUCGUAGCGAUACUGACGUGCAAAUCGUUCGUCUGAUUUGGGUAUAGGGGCGAAAGACUAAUCGAACCAUCUAGUAGCUGGUUCCCUC
Molecule: unclassified non-coding RNA, 2277 nt
Filed under: uncultured fungus
Lineage: Eukaryota; Fungi
Description: sequence contains 18S rRNA gene, ITS1, 5.8S rRNA gene, ITS2, 28S rRNA gene
Rfam family: Eukaryotic large subunit ribosomal RNA (bases 1109-2277)
Source: RNAcentral